GUGCUAUCAUAGGUAGCGACAAAGACUUCACAUUUGACAGAUUCUCUUUUCUUGUCUAGUGUGAACAAAUGUGAAGUGAAUUGACUAAAAAAAAUAUACUAACUGGUGUGACCUAGUAGAUGAGCACUACCCUUGGUAGCGUCUAGUUGAAUUGUCUCAUUAGGCAGCCAGACUCUAUCAUAGGUAACAUCCAGCAGCUUUUCCAAUACAAUCCCAUCAUGCAUCCCGUAGCAUAGUAGAGUAACAAAUAGACUCUACAUACAGUAACAUCUCCCACCCUCU
This 282-nucleotide unclassified non-coding RNA is filed under the name Hevea brasiliensis (rubber tree). The record is from RNAcentral. Lineage: Eukaryota; Viridiplantae; Streptophyta; Magnoliopsida; Malpighiales; Euphorbiaceae.